RNAcentral lists this signal recognition particle RNA (301 nucleotides) under Neogale vison (American mink). Its description in RNAcentral is "Neovison vison (American mink) Metazoan signal recognition particle RNA (ENSNVIG00000002968.1)". It matches the Rfam family "Metazoan signal recognition particle RNA". From Rfam's summary of the family: The signal recognition particle (SRP) is a universally conserved ribonucleoprotein. It is involved in the co-translational targeting of proteins to membranes. The record is from RNAcentral. Lineage: Eukaryota; Metazoa; Chordata; Mammalia; Carnivora; Mustelidae.
GCCGGGCGCAGUGGCGCGCGCCUGUAGUCCCAGCUACUCGGGAGGCUGAGGCAGGAGGAUCGCUUGAGCCCAGGAGUUCUGGGCUGUAGUGCGGUAUGCCUUUCGGGUGUCCGCACUAAGUUCGGCAUCAAUAUGGUGACCUCCCGGGAGCGGGGGACCACCAGGUUGCCUAAGGAGGGGUGAACCGGCCCAGGUCGGAAACAGAGCAGGUCAAAACUCCCAUGCUGAUCAGUGUAGGUUCAUAGCUUGUAAUAAAUGUACCACUCUGACAAUGGUACUAGAGGGUACACUGGAAAUCUCU